GUCAGCGUGUGUCCCCCGGGGCUCCGCGCCUGGUGGUGGAGGCCUGGUGACCGCCCGGCGAAGGGUAGGGGGAGGAAGCAUGGGCGGACGCCAGGGACCAGAUUUGCAAGGCUUCCCUUUCUAGAAAAACGUGAGAAUACUUCCUACCUACCUUAGGGGAAAUUACUUCCCUUGAUGCUUAAACACACACUCGGUCCACGUGGGAAAGCACGUCUCGGUAGCUGUAGAUGAUUGGAAAAGACGUCUGCGCAGUCCUCGUUUCUAGCCGUUCUCAUGUUUUAAGUGAACGUCCUUUGGAUUUGGCAUAGAAGCCACUUUUCUUGUUUCAGAAAAAAAGUACACAACCCUUUCAGCUAUAAACUGCGCCUUUCAAGGUGACAUUCACCCCAGUAAGCAUUUGAAAUUCUCGCUGUAUGCCCAGAGGAGAAAACAUCGUAAUUAAGGAACUUAGCCCUCAUCCCUCAUCUGAGCAUUUUUCUUGUCAAGAGUGGGAAAAGAAGGAUUUAUUGACCUACUCCAUUAUAUAGCAGAAGGGAAUUUUAGUAGAUAUUUUCGUCUGUUCAGCGUUCAUUCCCUAAUUCUGAUCAUUUCUUUUGGGGAACUAUUCACUCAGUCCGCGGGGCUGGGGUAGGUAGGACUCCACAGGGACAGCAUAUUUGAGUUAAUCCUCUGCCUUAGGCUGGGGUUACCAGGAAGGGUGCUCUCUGCCAAUGGACUUAAAUCUGGGAAAAUGAAGGCCUGAAGCCAUCCUUCCACUUAGGGAUUAUUCUGAGAAAGAAGACAACAUGGAAAAAAAGCAGAUCGAAAGAUGGAGAUGCGGCCUGGAAAUACGUUUGAUGCCCAGAAUUCAAUGUGGACUAAAUAACUGGAAAUUUCAGUUAAAUUAGUUCUUUCAUAUUUGUGUUUUAUUGCUUAAACUAGUGAGAAGUUUUCUGUCACUUGCUGUCCUGAAUCCUAAGGGAUGCUGGUAGCAGGAGAGGAAGCAAAGUUAAUACCAGUAAGGACAUGGUGUCCUCUCAAACUUUGUGUGAGGAAUUGAUGAGCUGGUAAACAGCAGGGCUCUAAUUUGCAUAAAUUGCUCUGUACAGAGUUUCUGUGAGCACCUGGAGAGAGAAGACAUUUUUUCUUCAGAGAAUGAGAUGAAGACGAUGAGGGCCCCCGGGAUGGCCUUUGUUCCUGGACUGGCUUAGAGCCCGGGCAGCGUAGCUGGGACCUAAUGCUAGAGAGAUUUGUGAAACUGUGGGAGCUUGCAGUGUCUCUGGGGCUUGGACUUGGGGGAAUGUCCACUCAACCCAAUUGUCAUAUACCAGGCAGGAAGAGAAGUGGUAGAGUGAGAAGAGUGAUUACUCUAAGGUCAGACUAAACUGUGUUUAAAUGCCAACACCCACUUACGAGCAGCAUGAUCGCAGGCAAGUAUUUAAUUUCUCUAAGCUUCAGUUCCCCAAGUGCAAAUGGGAAUGAUAUUAAUACCUACUUGCAUAGGA
Canis lupus familiaris (dog) is the source of this 1484-nucleotide long non-coding RNA. RefSeq lists it as uncharacterized. The record is from RefSeq and is a predicted model, not a curated record. The transcript has 3 exons. Lineage: Eukaryota; Metazoa; Chordata; Mammalia; Carnivora; Canidae.